This 379-nucleotide ribosomal RNA is filed under the name uncultured eukaryote. RNAcentral's name for it is "partial 18S ribosomal RNA". It matches the Rfam family "Eukaryotic small subunit ribosomal RNA", at positions 592 to 976 of the family's 1831-position model. The record is from RNAcentral.
CAAUAGCGUAUAUUUAAGUUGUUGCAGUUAAAAAGCUCGUAGUUGGAUUUCGGAUGGGAUCUGCCGGUCCGUCUUUGAGAUGUGUACUGGUAGGUCCUAUCUUGUUGUCGAGGACCAGCUCCUGGGCUUCACUGUCCGGGACUGGGAGCCGACGAAGUUACUUUGAGUAAAUUAGAGUGUUCAAAGCAAGCCUACGCUCUGAAUAUAUUAGCAUGGAAUAACACGAUAGGACUCUGGCUUAUCUUGUUGGUCUGUGAGACCAGAGUAAUGAUUAAGAGGAACAGUCGGGGGCAUUCGUAUUCCAUUGUCAGAGGUGAAAUUCUUAGAUUUAUGGAAGACGAACAUCUGCGAAAGCAUUUGCCAAGGAUGUUUUCAUUGA